Molecule: ribosomal RNA, 376 nt
Filed under: uncultured Legionella sp.
Lineage: Bacteria; Pseudomonadati; Pseudomonadota; Gammaproteobacteria; Legionellales; Legionellaceae
Description: bacterial SSU rRNA
Rfam family: Bacterial small subunit ribosomal RNA
Source: RNAcentral
GUAGCUGGUCUGAGAGGAUGAMCAGCCACACUGGGACUGAGACACGGUCCAGACUCCUACGGGAGGCAGCAGUGGGGAAUAUUGGACAAUGGGGGCAACCCUGAUCCAGCAAUGCCGCGUGUGUGAAGAAGGCCUGAGGGUUGUAAAGCACUUUCAGUGGGGAGGAGGAUUACUAGGUUAAGAGCCAGGUGAUUGGACGUUACCCACAGAAGAAGCACCGGCUAACUCCGUGCCAGCAGCCGCGGUAAUACGGAGGGUGCGAGCGUUAAUCGGAAUGACUGGGCGUAAAGGGUGCGUAGGUGGUUUUUUAAGUUAUGGGUGAAAUCACUGGGCUCAACCUGGUGUUGAAUCAUAAUACUGAGAGACUCGAGUAUAG